UGGAUAGCUCAGACGGGUAGAGCAGUGGAUUUUGUUUCCACGUGUCGCGGGUUCGAAUCCCGCUCCAA
Molecule: transfer RNA, 68 nt
Filed under: Luteimonas sp. MC1572
Lineage: Bacteria; Pseudomonadati; Pseudomonadota; Gammaproteobacteria; Lysobacterales; Lysobacteraceae
Also listed under: 1 other name
Description: tRNA-Gln
Rfam family: tRNA
About the family: Transfer RNA (tRNA) molecules are approximately 80 nucleotides in length. Their secondary structure includes four short double-helical elements and three loops (D, anti-codon, and T loops).
Source: RNAcentral